UACGUGAGGGGCGAACGUUGUUCGGUGUCACUGGGCUUAAAGGGCGCGCAGGUGGCUGUGCAAGUAAGGUGUGAAAGCCCUCGGCUUACCCGGGGAAUUGCGCCUUAAACUGCAUGGCUUGAGGGAUUCAGGGGAAUGGGGAACUCCAGGUGUAGCGGUGAAAUGCGCAGAUAUCUGGGGGAAGGCCGGCGGCGAAGGCGCCAUUCUGGGAAUUUCCUGACACUGAGGCGCGAAAGCGUGGGGAGCAAACAGG
Molecule: ribosomal RNA, 253 nt
Filed under: uncultured bacterium
Lineage: Bacteria
Description: partial 16S ribosomal RNA
Rfam family: Bacterial small subunit ribosomal RNA
Source: RNAcentral